Long non-coding RNA from Eriocheir sinensis (Chinese mitten crab), 770 nucleotides. RefSeq lists it as uncharacterized. NCBI's taxonomy places the organism in Eukaryota, Metazoa, Arthropoda, Malacostraca, Decapoda, Varunidae. The record is from RefSeq and is a predicted model, not a curated record. The transcript is spliced from 2 exons.
AUGCUGUAAUUACCUAGUUGUGGUUUUACAGGGCCUGGGCUUACACUUAUGUGGUCCCGUUUUCGUGUCUGUAUUUGUUCAACUUUUCCUUAACCCGUCCGCUGCGAUUGGCACGGAUUUGGCCUUCACUGGUAGCCUGAUAACAUAUACUCCCAGGUCUUUCUCUGCCUCUGUGGUGGAUAGUGGAGUGUUUCCCAUGUGGUAUUGGUGUGCUGGAUAUCCCCUCCCAAGGUGCAGGACUUUACAUUUUCUUCAUUGACUUCCAGCAGCCACUUUUUGCUCCACUCCUGUAGCUUGGUGAGGUCUUCUGGUAGGGGGUCCGCAGCCAAGGGGUUAAAGCAAAUUUGGCCCGUCGCUGCUACCGGGUUAAAGAAAUUCAUGGAUAGUUUCAGAAGACGAUAGGUUCCUACAUUAUGAGCUUGACGUUUAGUAGGUUGGAACAAUGUUAUAUGACUCACUAACCUGUACUCCCUUCUCUCUCUCUCUCUUUCUCUCACCACCAACACCACCACCACUAUCGCCAACACCACCACCGAAACUACCUCCAAAACUUUCAUUACCACCACCAAAACUACCACUGCAACCACCACCACUAUUGCCAACACUGAAACUACACCCAAAACUCUCACUACCACCACCAAAACUACCACUAACAACAAAAACAUGACCACUACCACCACCAAAACUACCACCACCACUAUUGUCAACACUGAAACUACCACCAUAACUCUCACUACCACCACCAAAACUACCACUAACUAACCACUAAC